Molecule: ribosomal RNA, 497 nt
Filed under: uncultured bacterium
Lineage: Bacteria
Description: partial 16S ribosomal RNA
Rfam family: Bacterial small subunit ribosomal RNA
Source: RNAcentral
GAUGAACGCUGGCGGCGUGCCUAAUACAUGCAAGUCGAGCGAACAGACGAGGAGCUUGCUCUUCUGACGUUAGCGGCGGACGGGUGAGUAACACGUGGAUAACCUACCUAUAAGACUGGGAUAACUUCGGGAAACCGGAGCUAAUACCGGAUAAUAUAUUGAACCGCAUGGUUCAAUAGUGAAAGACGGUUUUGCUGUCACUUAUAGAUGGAUCCGCGCCGCAUUAGCUAGUUGGUAGGGUAACGGCUUACCAAGGCAACGAUGCGUAGCCGACCUGAGAGGGGGAAGGGCCACACUGGAACUGAGACACGGCCAAGACACCGAGGGGAGGAAGAAGUGGGGAAUAUUGGAAAAUGGGGGAAAGCCUGAAGAAGCAAGGCAGGGUGGAUGAAGAAGGUCUUCGGGUGGUAAAACUGUUUUAGGGGGGAAGAAAAAAUGAGAGAAAAAAUAUGCGCGUAUUGACGGUACCAAAUAAAGAAGCACCGGCUAACUACGUG